Molecule: transfer RNA, 80 nt
Filed under: Felis catus (domestic cat)
Lineage: Eukaryota; Metazoa; Chordata; Mammalia; Carnivora; Felidae
Rfam family: tRNA
About the family: Transfer RNA (tRNA) molecules are approximately 80 nucleotides in length. Their secondary structure includes four short double-helical elements and three loops (D, anti-codon, and T loops).
Source: Rfam by way of RNAcentral
GCCUGGGUGGCUCAGUCGGUUGAGCGUCUGACUUCGGCUCACGAUCUUGCGGUCCGCGGGUUCGAGCCCCGCGUGGGGCU